CGAAUAUUUUCAUCCUCCCUUCGGCCUUCCACUGCUCUUACAGUGCCAACUAUAAUUAAGCACUGCUACUUCCACCUUGAUUUCCAUGAGCCCAGUAAGGUUUAGCAGGGGUGCGUCGUAAUGCCCUCACUCCCAAUGGGUUGUCCUUGCUCUGUUGCAGAAAAUUCAAGAAAGCACAUAAGAAAAAUAAAAAAAUAAUCAAAAAGAGAAAACCAGGACUGCUAAAUUUAAACUUGAAAGCUCAAAAGAAAAACAUCAAACGAUUUCUUAAUAGAAUCAUGCAAUGCAACCAAAUAGCUUGAAUUUAAAACAUGAAUAUCGAAAUAUUUGCCCAUUGGUCUUUGGCACACUGCUGCAAAGCCUAGAGCAGCCAAGCGUACCAACAAAAUUUAGCAUAUCUUACCAUCAAGCAGGUCCCAGCACGAACAUUACAGAUGGGAUAGUCAUGUGGGCAGCAGCUAUAGUGGUCAUCACAGCAGGUGGCAGCCUCAAGCGGGCAGCAUCCCCAUGCAAAGCAAGAGUUACCAUACUCAAAGACACAGCAGCAAGUGUUGCUCUCAGGGCAAGAGUAAUAAUUGUCACACACAGCAGGAGGCUUUGUUGGAGAUGGAGGGGACGGUCCAGGGUUGGGAGGAUUUUGGCCUUUCUUUAUGGGAUAUGAGGCCUCCAUGGCAAUUCCACACUUGCCCGUGAGAGUGCCAGCCACGUUACGCUCCAUCCUAAUAUAGCCAGCCUCUCCCCAGCUACUGCCCCAUGAAUUCUUCACAAUCCAGUAAUCAGCUCCAUUUUCUGUGCCAUAUCCAACAGCAGUAACACCAUGGUCCAGAGAUGUCCCACAUCUUCCCGUAAAUAUACCCUGAAAAUUUGCAAAGACAGAAAAAUAUACUUGAGACUUCCUUAAAACAGAUCAGACACACACAAGACUCUUCCUGAUCCUGUUUAGAAACCAUUAGAAAUACAAUAAUUUUUGUUCAAAUACCAUCCAGUAUUGUCUCAACCAUAUCUUUUCAGAACUGCAAAAUGCAAAUACUUUGUAUCUAGAUAAUAGCAACAUUCCUAAAUCUAAAAUGUGACAAGUGCCAUGAAGAGAUGAAAGUUACCGAUUCAUAUAACUGGAAUGCCAUGCCACCUCCUUCAAUGGCAACACUCACGGGUUGAUUUGCAACUGCCUUUUGCAAAGCUUUCUCGUCAUUUAGGGGAACAUCUUCAUAGUCAUCAAUUGUAACUACUUUGGCAUUUUUCUG
Molecule: long non-coding RNA, 1244 nt
Filed under: Citrus maxima (pomelo)
Lineage: Eukaryota; Viridiplantae; Streptophyta; Magnoliopsida; Sapindales; Rutaceae
Description: long non-coding RNA (CMAX_LNC001609)
Source: RNAcentral